This 560-nucleotide long non-coding RNA is filed under the name Brassica napus (rape). RNAcentral's name for it is "long non-coding RNA (BNAP_LNC005911)". Lineage: Eukaryota; Viridiplantae; Streptophyta; Magnoliopsida; Brassicales; Brassicaceae. The record is from RNAcentral.
AAAAAAAACAAAAACAAUCAAACAGUGUAAUGGGACAAAAAAUUAGGUCAAAGUUACGAGCAUCGCAAUUAUUGCUCUUAGGGUAGACUACUUCAAACCAAUACGCACAACACAAAUACUUCUCAUGGGCUGGGAUAACGUAUCUAAAUUGAAAUCAAAUCGUGCAUGACGACGUGAAUUAAUUACUCCAGAUACACGACAAAACCUUAUGCGAAAAAAAGUAAAAUAAAGUCCUGACAAAAAAAAGUAAAAUAAAGUUCCACAUUUUUAAUGGCAAUAAGAUAACAGAAAAAAUACAAUAAAAAUAAAUUCAAUUAAAUUUAAACUAUUUUUUUCAGAACAGUAAUUGAAAUUCUAAAUUAAAAAAAAAUAUUUUUUGUGUUUUCAAUACAUGUUUUACAAAUUUAAAAUGAUUAAUUGUACAUUUCAAAAGAUAUAAUUGUAUUUAUUAAUUUUUUCUUAGUUAAAAGUGUGGGAAAUAGAUAAUCACAAAAAUAAAUUAUACAUUUAUAGCUAAAAUUUAAUAUAUAUGAAAACUCUAAUACAUGUAUCAUUUUAAA